Molecule: ribosomal RNA, 630 nt
Filed under: uncultured bacterium
Lineage: Bacteria
Description: bacterial SSU rRNA
Rfam family: Bacterial small subunit ribosomal RNA (bases 1-533)
Source: RNAcentral
CCUACGGGAGGCAGCAGUGAGGAAUAUUGGACAAUGGGCGCAAGCCUGAUCCAGCCAUGCCGCGUGCAGGAUGACGGUCCUAUGGGAUUGUAAACUGCUUUUAUACAGGAAGAAACACCUCUACGUGUAGAGACUUGACGGUACUGUAAGAAUAAGGAUCGGCUAACUCCGUGCCAGCAGCCGCGGUAAUACGGAGGAUCCAAGCGUUAUCCGGAAUCAUUGGGUUUAAAGGGUCCGUAGGCGGUUUAGUAAGUCAGUGGUGAAAGCCCAUCGCUCAACGGUGGAACGGCCAUUGAUACUGCUAGACUUGAAUUAUUAGGAAGUAACUAGAAUAUGUAGUGUAGCGGUGAAAUGCUUAGAGAUUACAUGGAAUACCAAUUGCGAAGGCAGGUUACUACUAAUUGAUUGACGCUGAUGGACGAAAGCGUGGGUANCGAACAGGAUUAGAUACCCUGGUAGUCCACGCCGUAAACGAUGAUACUAGCUGUUGGANCAAUCUNAGUGNGAGAGAAGUAGAGUAAGUAGUACCGACCGUAACGGGUAGGUACGAACGACGUAAGUUAGUUAAACGUAACGAAGUUAGAGUUAGACGGCGUUGAGACGAGCGACGGACGACGACGAGGGAGGAGG